GGGAAAUAAACACUCAGAUGCGAACUACAGCACUGACUGCCAGUCCACUUUAACUUCAUCAGCAGACCUCCAUCUCUCCUGUCUCAGACAAAGAGCCAGUGUCUGAUGCCCCAUAAGGAUGUAAAAUUAUAAGGCAAUGUCUUCUUCAAAGGUGAAAAACAAGCUCCAGAUGUUUCCAAUAGCAGAUGCUGUGACUGCCCAACCAGAUGCUCCAUUCCCAUCACCUCCCAAGCACUUACUUAGGACUGUUGUGGAAAUUUCUAGCCAUCUCAGCUUUGCAGGUUAGUAGAAACAAACAAGCCCUCUGCAUUAGCUGCCUCGAUAGGGCUAAAUGACAAGAACCUCCCAAGAAACACAUAUUUCUGGUGACCACUUUUCACUGGAGAUUUGACUAUUUUACUGUGACCAAAUGGUAAAGGGGCCUUUCUAAUGUUUAACUUGGAUGCCCCAAAUGGAAAAUGACUGAAGACUCAAUUCAGUUGAGUUAGACUCAUUAGUCACUGAGUUUAUUGCCUAGAUGAGAUUUACUAGACAUUUAACCAAAAAUCCAAGACAAUCUAGAUUCCUCAUUUUAGCUGUGAAUUUCAAUAACUCUCCAAACCUCAAAUCUGCCCCUUCUUUCCAAUUUUAUUUUUUAAAACUGGAAGCUGACAAUUGACUAGAUAAUGUUCAUUUUGGGGGAUUGUGCUGAAUAAGAAAAAGAGAGAAAAUCAAGGUGAUAUAGGUAACCUUAACAAUCUACCUCUCAUCCAAGUUGAAAACUGUUUAGAAACCCAGUGGUCUGAUUCAAAUAAUCUCCUGGUCAUCUUUCAGUCUCUUCUUACUCUUGGCUUUUACUGGCUUCCUCAAAAAAAAAAUUUUUUUUUUUUAAGGGUGCACGUGCGUAUGGAAAUUCUUGGGCUAGGGGUUGAAUCCAG
RNAcentral lists this long non-coding RNA (917 nucleotides) under Sus scrofa (pig). RNAcentral's name for it is "lncRNA (ENSSSCG00070018768.1)". The record is from RNAcentral. Lineage: Eukaryota; Metazoa; Chordata; Mammalia; Artiodactyla; Suidae.